AGGGUGAGAGCUCUUUCUCGAUUUGAUGGGGGGGGGUGCAUGGCCGUUCUUAGUUGGUGGAGUGAUCUGUCUGGUUGAUUCCGAUAACGAACGAGACUCUACCCUACUAACUAGUCGGCGGAUCGUAACCCUGAGAUGGUUAGUUCGUAUUUUUAGGCGUGCGUCGUAGUUAAGACGCUAUCCCGACGUUCGAUGCUUUAUUGCUACUACUACUGCUGGGGGCGUCCGUCGCAAUGUAUCUUCUUAGAGGGAUCAGCGGCGUAUAGCCGCACGAGAAAGAGCAAUAACNGGUCUGUGAUGCCCUUANAUGUUCUGGGCCGCACGCGCGCUACAAURCAGGGUGCANCGUGCUUUCCCUCUCCGAAAGGAGCGGGUAACCCGUUGAAACCCCUACUUAAUAGGGRGUGGGGAUUGUAAUUAUAUCCCAUAAACGAGGAAUUCCAAGUAAUCGCGAGUCAUUAACUCGCGCUGAUUACGUCCCUGCCCUUUGUACACACCGCCCGUC
Molecule: ribosomal RNA, 505 nt
Filed under: Parvochelus russus
Lineage: Eukaryota; Metazoa; Arthropoda; Malacostraca; Isopoda; Desmosomatidae
Description: bacterial SSU rRNA
Rfam family: Eukaryotic small subunit ribosomal RNA
Source: RNAcentral